RNAcentral lists this transfer RNA (72 nucleotides) under Araneus ventricosus. It matches the Rfam family "tRNA". Rfam says of the family: Transfer RNA (tRNA) molecules are approximately 80 nucleotides in length. The record is from Rfam by way of RNAcentral. Lineage: Eukaryota; Metazoa; Arthropoda; Arachnida; Araneae; Araneidae.
AGCAGAGUGGCGCAGUGGGAGCGUGCUGGGCCCAGAACCCAGAGGUCCGUGGAUGGAAACCAUUCUCUGCUA